This 1146-nucleotide long non-coding RNA is filed under the name Equus asinus (donkey). RNAcentral's name for it is "lncRNA (ENSEASG00005023638.1)". Lineage: Eukaryota; Metazoa; Chordata; Mammalia; Perissodactyla; Equidae. The record is from RNAcentral.
GUCUCCUCGGGGUUUCUCUGUGUCUUGGAAGAUAUGAUUGUCCGGGCAUUGAAUCCAGCCUUUUGGAAUCUGAAAGGAAAAGCAACCAAAGACUAAGUCUUACACUCAGUCUGAUCUACGAAGACGUUGCUAAGACCGAUGGCCAGGACCUUACAGCCUAUAUUUUCUUCUAGGAGUUUUAUGGUCUGGAAACAGAGACUAAGAAGUUAUGGACUUGUCAAAAGUCUCACAGCAAUGCAUUUAAGAUGAUGUCCAGUCAGCUUGGGCUGCUAUAACAAAACACUAUAAACAGAGUGGCUUGUCAACAAUAGGCAUUUAUUUCUCACAGUUCUGGAGGCUGGAAGUUCAAGAUCAUGGUGUCAGCAUGGUCGGGUUCUGAUUCCUUUCCAUUCUGAGAAGCCAAGGUAUUUUCGCCCGGUGGAGGAAUGACGUAGUUCCAUCCUAAUCUUGUCUUAUACUUGCAGACUAGCCCUGAGCUAACAUCUGCCGCCAAUCCUCCUUUUUUUGCUGAGGAAGACUGGCUGUGAGCUAACAUCCAUGCCCAUCUUCCUCUACUUUAUAUGCGGGACGCCUACCACAGCAUGGCUUGCCAAGCGGUGCCAUGUCCGCACGCAGGAUCGGAACCAGCGAAUCCCCGGGCCGCAGAAGUGGAAUGUGCGCACUUAACCGCUGCGUCACCAGGCCGGCCCCUGACUUACUUUAAAUGUCUGCACCUGGUUCAAUUGUAGUUUCCAUCUAGAAACAUCAUCGUGUUUUACUUUAAUCUCUGCAUUGACCUGAAAACUGCUAAAUCUUUUUGAGGUUAGAAUUGCUUCAAGAUAAAUGGUGCAUUAAUAUGACUAUUGUUGCUCUGAAUAUUGGCCCUAAAGAAAUUACCCAGGAAAAAAAAGAGCAUCUGUUAGCGUGUGCCUGCUCGUGGCAGAGAGGAGCCUGCAUGCAGAGCAGUCCUAAGAAUGCAGCGUCCUAGUAUGCCAGCUCGUUCCAUGGACUGGAGAGCAGCUCCUCUGCUGUGCUGCAGUGGCGCUGAGCCCUGCCUCUGAAUGGAUGUCGUGAACACUGACUGUCAUCGGCCUGUUUUCCCUUUCUAAAAGAAACGGAACACAUGUUACAUCAGGAUUUCAUUUACUAAUAAAAUGUUCCUUUUCA